This 812-nucleotide ribosomal RNA is filed under the name uncultured bacterium. Its description in RNAcentral is "bacterial SSU rRNA". It matches the Rfam family "Bacterial small subunit ribosomal RNA", at positions 9 to 817 of the family's 1533-position model. The record is from RNAcentral.
GAGUUUGAUCCUGGCUCAGAUUGAACGCUGGCGGUAGGCUUAACACAUGCAAGUCGUGCGAGAAAGUAUCUUCGGAUAUGAGUAGAGCGGCGGACGGGUGAGUAACGCGUAGGAAUCUACCUAGUAGAAGGGGAUAGCCCGGGGAAACCCGGAUUAAUACCGUAUACCUCCUUCGGGAGAAAGAAGGCCUCUCUUUGAAGCUUUCGCUAUUAGAUGAGCCUGCGUAAGAUUAGCUUGUUGGUGAGGUAAAGGCUCACCAAGGCGACGCUCUUUAGCUGGUCUGAGAGGACGAUCAGCCACAUUGGGACUGAGACACGGCCCAGACUCCUACGGGAGGCAGCAGUGGGGAAUAUUGGACAAUGGGCGCAAGCCUGAUCCAGCCAUACCGCGUGUGUGAAGAAGGCCUUCGGGUUGUAAAGCACUUUAAGCAGGGAGAAAAAGUUAUAAGUUAAUACCUUAUAACCUUGAUGUUACCUGCAGAAUAAGCACCGGCUAAUUCCGUGCCAGCAGCCGCGGUAAUACGGAAGGUGCAAGCGUUAAUCGGAAUUACUGGGCGUAAAGCGCGCGUAGGUGGUUUGUUAAGUUGGAUGUGAAAGCCCUGGGCUCAACCUAGGAACUGCAUCCAAAACUAACUCACUAGAGUACGAUAGAGGGAGGUAGAAUUCAUAGUGUAGCGGUGGAAUGCGUAGAUAUUAUGAAGAAUACCAGUGGCGAAAGCGGCCUCCUGGGUCUGUACUGACACUGAGUGCGAAAGCGUGGGUAGCGAACAGGAUUAGAUACCCUGGUAGUCCACGCCGUAAACGAUGACACUA